Molecule: ribosomal RNA, 473 nt
Filed under: Filifactor villosus
Lineage: Bacteria; Bacillati; Bacillota; Clostridia; Peptostreptococcales; Filifactoraceae
Description: bacterial SSU rRNA
Rfam family: Bacterial small subunit ribosomal RNA
Source: RNAcentral
GAGUUUGAUUAUGGCUCAGGAUGAACGCUGGCGGCGUGCUUAACACAUGCAAGUCGAACGGGCGAAUUAUAUCGGAGGUCUUCGGGCCGAAGAGAUAAUAAGCUAGUGGCGGACGGGUGCGUAACGUGUGGGUAAUCUGCCUUUGUCAUAGGAAUAACUGCUUGAAAAAGUAGCUAAUACCAAAUAACAUAUCGUAUAGGCAUCUAUAAGAUAUCAAAGAGAAAUCGGACAAAGAUGAGCCCGCAUCUGAUUAGCUGGUUGGUAGGGUAAAAGCCUACCAAGGCGACGAUCAGUAGCCGGCCUGAGAGGGUGAACGGCCACAUUGGAACUGAGACACGGUCCAAACUCCUACGGGAGGCAGCAGUGGGGAAUAUUGCACAAUGGGGGGAACCCUGAUGCAGCAACCGCCGCGUGAGUGAAGAAGGCUUUCGAGUCGUAAAACUUCUGUUGUAAGGGAAGAUAAUGACCNGUNC